UCUCCGUUGGUGAACCAGCGGAGGGAUCAUUACCGAGUUUUCAACUCCCAAGCCCCUGUGUACUUGUACGUUUACUGUUGCUUCGGCGGGUUAUUGCCCCGGGGAAACAGGCGGCGGCCAGGUCCCUGCCCCCCCGGAAGCAGGCACCCGCCGGGGGACUCCAACUCUUCUGUAUUUUUUUGUUUACUGUAUCCUGUCUGAGUAAAAAUUCAUAAUGAUUAACAACUUUCAACUACGCAUCUCUUUCUUCUGGCAUCGAUGAAGAACGGAGCAGAACGG
This 279-nucleotide unclassified non-coding RNA is filed under the name plant metagenome. RNAcentral describes it as "partial contains small subunit ribosomal RNA, internal transcribed spacer 1, and 5.8S ribosomal RNA". The record is from RNAcentral.